UUUGGUUUUGGUUUUGGUUUUUUUUGGGGGGGGGAGUUGUGUGUGUGUGUGUGUGUGUGUGUGUGUGUGUGUGUGUGUUUGUACCUGGAGAUCUGGAAGGAUUAUACCUAUAAGACAUAAAGUUUAGCCUUUUAAUACUAUGAACCCCCACCCCCACUCCCCAUGUAUUUAAAAUGGUUGAUUGCUGUAAGGAAUUCUCUUUCAGGAUAAAGGUUUUAACGUUCUCUGGAAGUCCUUUAAGCAAGACUUUUGUGUUGUCUAAGAAUCGUUUGCGUCUGGUAACAAGUAGGCCAAUAUUUACUGAAGGCAAACUCCACUGCUGUGCUCAGCCCUGUGGAAGAAACUACUGGGGUCUCUGGGAAAUCGUGAGUCUCCCAUGCCUCUGCAUAGUCUCAUGCUAAUCAUAGUGGUGAUAAGAUAUCAUGCUAAUCACAGGUCUCUCAGGUCUAUCUAAGACUAGUCUAUGGUCACUUGGCUUCUGUAGUUGGACAUGUCAUGGGACGUACAGAGGUGUGUGGUGGAGGUUGGCUGUUCGUAUCACAAUAGGAGACAGAAUGUGAGCAGGAAGGGGCUAGAGAUAAGAACUCCCCCAAGGACUCCCCACCAGUGCGACCUUGCUUCCUGCAGCCAGUUUGUGACUCUCAAAGUUCCCAGAGCCUCCCUAAAGAGCACCACCAGCUGGAGAUUAACAUUCAUGCCCAAUCCAUAAUGAUUCGUUACUCCUUUGAUCAGAGACAUACAAGGUUGGGUCACACAAGGCAUUACAUAAAUUUGAACUUGUUCACCCAUUUCUAGAGCCUUGAACCACCAUGUAAAUCCAACUACCCUUAGGCAACUAAGUUAGGAAGAAACCACAAAAGGGAAGCUAUAAGAAGACACCAUAGCCAACAGCUGCAAAUGAAUCCAGGAAUCUGAGUGCCAACCUCCAGUUGUCUCCAGAUCUUGAACAAUGCAAUCAUCUCCAGCCAUUUUUUUCCCUAGAUGAGACCCCAGACCUCACGGAGCAAUUACGUGCCAUGCUCCAUUUCUUCAACUCGCCUCACACACACAGGAUUCACGAGGUAUAAGAAACCGUUGUGAUAUCACCCUUCUAAGUUGAAGUCUGAUUUUGCACGGGAAUAGAUAAUGGAUUGAUAUUUGACAAGUGUCAUGAACAACACAGUUACAUUUUUAAAAGUACGGAUGUGUAUGCGUGCACAGAACAGUCCAGCAGACAAGAAGUAUUAGCAGUGAGCAGGGAUUACUCCGGACGUGAGGCAAAGUUAAUGUUCUCCUUUAUUUCUUUCUUUGUUUUCUGAACUUUCUACAGUGAGUUCGUACUGCUUAAGUGAAUAAAGAAUAGAAGCCACUCGCAGGAGGUCACACUGAAAGAUGAUGGUUGUGAUUCCAGAUGCAAGCCAAGGGCUUCUAAUGAUGGCUGAGACCUGGUUGAAAGGGAGAUGGUCUGGGCUCACCACCAUCCCUCUGGACUUGGAAGUGGGCAGUGGUUGUGUGUCAACACGGGGUGGGGAGAUGAUUGAAAAGGCAAGGAAGGAUGUAGGAGUGACUGCCAGAGAACAUCUUUCUGGCAACAGGGCAAUAUCUAGUAUGUGCAUCCCUAUGUGGUUAAUGGAGGCUCCCUCUGCACCACAAGGUCAGGUGUGUGAGCUCUGAUGUCAUCCAGUGACUAGUAAAGAUGCUGACAGGAAGCGAGUCACAGAGCACAUCUUUUUCCUCAGAUGCAGUCCUGCCAAGAGCAUAGGCACAAAUGUUGGUGUGACUAAGGCAGCCUUGGCCCGAGUGAAUAACCACAUGUUAGAAGCAGAGGGAAAUCAGGGACACGUGAAGAGGGCUCAACCAAAAGGACCAAACCUUGUGACUUUCACACACACACACACACACACACACACACACACACACACACACACACACACAAAAGUUUGAAUGGGGCCAAGGCUGAGUCCAGCACUAUAGACAUGGUUUCUAUGGAAACUUUGAAAGCAAAUAGUGCAUCAGUGAAGGAGGGAGGCCCUCGUUAAGCAGGGAGGACAGUGCCAGCCAUGCAGCCAGUGCUUCCCCUGUAGCAGUAACUGCCCACUUCUACAAGAACAUUCCGGAGCAAAAGCCCAGGCACAGUGGGCACUGGGAAGGUGGCAGGAGACUCAGAGAUCAGGCAGGAAGGGGUGUGCCAGUCCUCUGGGCCACACUGAGUGGAGGUGAGAGCUUUCUGAGUGUCUGCUGAGGCACAAGUCACUCUAGUUCUUAAACAUCUCUCAGCCAUGUCUGCUGAGCAGACCCCCUGCUAAUUAGAAAUGUACUUUGUACCCAGGUCUCACUUUUCUAAGGCUGUAAGAUGAACAGAUGAAAUCAUAAUUCCCUCCAGCCAAUGCCUGCAUUCUUCCAAUCCUAGAAUAAAGCAUCAGUUCUCAGACACCAAAGCAUCCCUGUGCCUGGUCCAGGUCCCUCUGCUUCACCUUUGCGUGUGCUCAGUCUCUUUCCUUUCUUCAUGUUUCACAUCUCACCAGCAUUUUCUGGGCCAGAAAAAUGCCUGACUCUUAACAUAUGUCAUAUUGACUUUCAUAUCCAGUUCCUGAGGUUCUAAGCACACCUUUCUUCACACACAAACACACACACACACACAUACACACACACACAUAUCUGCAUGUGCAUACACACAUAUAUACAUACUCACAUGCACAGACACCAUAAACACACAUGCACAUAUGAACAUGCUUAUACAUAUAUGUACAUACAGACAUAUCUAUAUAUGAUAAGAACUAUCUAUAUAUGAUACAUACAUGCACAUACAAGCAUACUUACACAUGCACACACAUACAUAUAUGCAUACACUUACACAAUGCACAGAUACACAUAAACACACAUGCACACACAUACAAAGACAUACACACAUGCACAGACACAAACAAACAUACAUGUUCCCAUAUAAAGACAUACACAUGUGUACACACAUAGACACACAUGUACACACAAACAUGCUUACACAUGCACACACAUACAGACAUACGCUUACAUGCAUGCACAAAUACACAUAAAUGCUGAUGCAAACACAAACAUGCUUACACAUGCACACACAUAUGCACAUAUAGACACAACACAUACACACACCCAGGAAUUAUGCCUCUGCUCCAAAUGACUAUAUUCAGUUCUACAAGUAAAGUUAUCUUUGCUCUGGAGCUAGCAAGGAUUGGUUGUGACAGCACAGAUUUGAUAAACCUAACAAAAGUAUGAGGUAGACUGACACCAUCUCAAUUCCCAGAAAAGAUGAGAACAAGAGAAGUAGACUGAAGACUGUCUGAGUGACUACAGGUGCUGUGGGAGCUUCAGUGACACGGCAAGCCCUUCCCGGAAGUGGAGAUAGCUGUGGAACACUUCUACUUCUGUAGCAAGACCAGGUGGGGAGAAGAAGGCAGCUGCUGACCAACACCACAUCUUUCCUCCUUCCACAAUAAUAAUGAGUCACUGGCUGGGUUCUGGGGGAGCAGAGCCUCCAUUUUCAGGCACCUCUCCACCGAGGAAUCUGGUCCUUAACCUCAAUCUUCGAUCUGUGACAAGAGGAGGAGGAAAUCUGGAACUGAGUGACCUCGUGGAACAAAGGAAGCUGCCAAUGUACCCUGAACCAGUCAUGUUUAUUGCUAAUUUUAAUAAUAAUUUUGCAGCUCAUUGGGUGAGUAAAGUUU
This is a non-coding RNA of Rattus norvegicus (Norway rat), 3677 nucleotides long. NCBI's taxonomy places the organism in Eukaryota, Metazoa, Chordata, Mammalia, Rodentia, Muridae. The record is from RefSeq and is a predicted model, not a curated record.